This 96-nucleotide Y RNA is filed under the name Chlorocebus sabaeus (green monkey). It matches the Rfam family "Y RNA". From Rfam's summary of the family: Y RNAs are components of the Ro ribonucleoprotein particle (Ro RNP), in association with Ro60 and La proteins. The Y RNAs and Ro60 and La proteins are well conserved, but the function of the Ro RNP is not known. In humans the RNA component can be one of four small RNAs -- hY1, hY3, hY4 and hY5. The record is from Rfam by way of RNAcentral. Lineage: Eukaryota; Metazoa; Chordata; Mammalia; Primates; Cercopithecidae.
GGCUGGUCCAAAGGUAGUGAGUUAUCUCAAUUGUUCACAGUUGAACUCCACAUUCCACUCUCCCUGCUUCUCACUGUUGUACUUGACUAGUCUUUA